AUUGAACGCUGGCGGCAUGCCUUACACAUGCAAGUCGAACGGCAGCGGACCUUCGGGUGCCGGCGAGUGGCGAACGGGUGAGUAAUAUAUCGGAACGUACCUUUCAGUGGGGGAUAACGUAGCGAAAGUUACGCUAAUACCGCAUAUUCUGUGAGCAGGAAAGCAGGGGAUCGCAAGACCUUGCGCUGAUUGAGCGGCCGAUAUCAGAUUAGCUAGUUGGUGAGGUAAAGGCUCACCAAGGCGACGAUCUGUAGCGGGUCUGAGAGGAUGAUCCGCCACACUGGAGCUGAGACACGGUCCAGACUCCUACGGGAGGCAGCAGUGGGGAAUUUUGGACAAUGGGCGCAAGCCUGAUCCAGCCAUGCCGCGUGAGUGAAGAAGGCCUCGGUUGUAA
RNAcentral lists this ribosomal RNA (394 nucleotides) under uncultured bacterium. RNAcentral's name for it is "bacterial SSU rRNA". It matches the Rfam family "Bacterial small subunit ribosomal RNA", at positions 30 to 428 of the family's 1533-position model. The record is from RNAcentral.